This 253-nucleotide ribosomal RNA is filed under the name uncultured bacterium. RNAcentral's name for it is "partial 16S ribosomal RNA". It matches the Rfam family "Bacterial small subunit ribosomal RNA", at positions 524 to 776 of the family's 1533-position model. The record is from RNAcentral.
UACGGGGGGGGCAAGCGUUGUUCGGAAUUACUGGGCGUAAAGGGCUCGUAGGCGGCCAACUAAGUCGGAUGUGAAAUCCCCAGGCUUAACCUGGGAACUGCAUCCGAUACUGGAUGGCUUGAAUUCGGGAGAGGGAUGCAGAAUUCCAGGUGUAGCGGUGAAAUGCGUAGAUAUCUGGAGGAACACCGGUGGCGAAGGCGGCAUCCUGGACCGGCACUGACGCUGAGGAGCGAAAGCCAGGGGAGCAAACGGG